Molecule: long non-coding RNA, 5780 nt
Filed under: Gallus gallus (chicken)
Lineage: Eukaryota; Metazoa; Chordata; Aves; Galliformes; Phasianidae
Source: RNAcentral
CCCGUCCCGUCCCGUCCCGCCCCGCCGCGAAGCGGAGGCGGAGUCCGAACGAAUCACCGCGCCGCGGGCGGGACGGGGCAAUGAGGCAAUGAGGCAAUGAGGCAAUGAGGAGGAGCGCAGCCGUGGUUAGGGUUCAGUUCCAGCUGAUUUUAUUUCCUUCCCGAAGAAAACAAAAACAAAAACAAGAGGUUAUUUACAGAAGGUAUAUCGACAAUCUGACAGGCAGUGAACGUGACAUGGUUAGCUGGCAUGAUUUCUUUUUUGUUUUUUUUUCCUCUUUCCCAACGUUGCGUUGUGGCUGAUCGUUAGACCAAAAUAAUAAUAAUAGAAAAAAAAAUAAAAAAUAAAAAUAAUAAUAAAAAAAAAGAAUUCUACACAGCAUAUUGCACAGGAUGGAUGACCAAAAAAUAAUAAAAUAAUAACAAUAAAAAGCGAAACCCUUAACGGAACCACCUCGUUCGGCAGACGUCCCCGUGCCUGUCAUGUUAUAUUAACAUACAUAAACACACAAUCUUCUUUUUUUUUUUUUUGCUUAUUAUAAUACAGACUUAAAUGUACAAAGAUGUUUUCACUUUCUUCAUCUUAAACACAACAGCUAUAACCUGAAUACAUAUGCUAUCAUCAUGCCAUAGGAGACUAAAACAAUUAUAUUUAGCGACAAGUAGAAAGGAUUAAAUAUCAAAUACGAGAAUGAAAAACGCAGUACAUAGUGUCGCGAACUCAAACCGGCAUUUCGAUAGAUCCAGUGGUUUAAAACGGCACGGCUUUGCUUCGAAAAAAAGUGCAAAAGAUGUGGUUUACGAGUUAAAGGUACAGGAUCCCUUUCCGCGCGGAGGCGCCGGUUCCGCGCUCCGUUCGGGAGACGUUCCCACCCAACCGGCGGCAGACGCCCGCCGGAGCCCUCCCCGUCCCCUCCGGCCCCAUCGUCCCGCUACGAGCGGGGCGCGGCGCGGGAUGCUGUGCCUUUAAGUGCCUGCAGAUCGGAGCGCGACGCGGGCGGAGGGCGGACGGGCGGGCGGGCGGCGGUGUGCGCUCACCGCGUGUCCGGGGCGGCCGGGGCCCUGCUGCCCGCGUCAGGAAAUCCAAACAGCGAUUGACACCGAUUUACACCCCCUUUAUAUAUUUUUUACAAAAAUACACUGAGAAAAUAAUCGAACGUUUUCAUCUCUCUUCUUUUUUUUUUUUUCUUUUUUUUUUUUUUGUGUGUGUGUGUGUGUGUGUUGGUUUGUUUUUUUUUUUUUUUUUUUUGUCGUUGUUUUUAAAAGUGUCAAAAGUCUACAUUUAAAUAUAAAAAAAAAAAAAAAUUCGAAGUUAAAACUCUAGCCCUUCCGUGAAGGAGACAUAAAAACGGUGCGGGUAACAACGAGAACUACCAGGAAAAAAAGAAGGACAAAGAAAGACGGGCAGAAACGUUUGGCAGUAUAAAUACGUCCACUCGGAAACGGCAUCCGCUCGCACGGACGGGACGGAACGGGACGGGGGCGGCCGUCGGUGGGCACAGUCCUAUACCACCCGCGGCCCUACGGACACACACGGACACAGCAGAGGGAAAAUUUGGUCCUGAAUUUCUGAGAGUCCAGCACGGCAUUGAGUUGCGUUUGAAUCCUUUAAAGAGUUAAGAGUGAAAAAAAAAAAAACCCAAAAACAAAACAAAACAAAAAAAAGAGCUGGUGAUACUUUGUAGGAAUCAAACAGAGCGCCAUCUGUCCGCUUCGCAUCGCCCUAACGCUACGUUCUGAAACUGUUCCACGGUCCGACAAAAACCUUAAAGACAGACAGGUAACAUGCUCUAUUAACCCACCACUGAGAGAAUCCAACACCAUCACGAUUCCGAGAAAGAAGAAGAAAAAAAAAAACUACUGCUUUUUUUUUUUUUUUCCUCUCUUUUUCCCCGUGUUUUCGGGCGCCGCGACGGCACCUCAGCCCCCGGCACGAGCAGCGCGGGGGGGGCUCAGCCGAUCCUCGUUUCCUUUCAAGCAGUUCUGGUCGCUCUUUCGCAUCCGGAGGGCGACGACGACCCCCGCGGGAGCUCCGCACGGCGCCGCUCCCUCCUCCCGCGCUGCGCCGCGGUCCCUCUCAGUCCGUCCUCGGGCGGUGGCACAGCGGCGGGCAGCGCUCCCGCGGUCCUCUCGGCCGCCGCCGGCUUCGGGCGGCCCCGCCUCAGUAGGUGAACACCAGGUUGGAGAUGCUGGACUCCAGCCAAUCCCCCGAGAUCAUCUCACUUACCUCCGGCGUGCAGUAGUCCGGGAACUCAAAGUGCGAGCCCGAGCCGGGCUCCAAGUUAAAAUCCAGGUCCCGGUCGAGCGCGGAGGAGCCGAAGCCGCCCAGGGACAUGCUCUCGAAGCCGGGGCUGGGGUUCAGGUCCAAGAGGUCGUCCUCGAACUCGUCGUCCGACGACGAGGAGCCGGCCGAGGAGGCGGAGGACGAGUGGGAGGACGCGGAGGAGGACCGCGCCGUGGAGGGGGCGGGCGAGGCGGCCCUCGGGCCGGCGUAGCCGCGGUGCUCGGCGGGCGAGCGGGCGCCCGGCGGCGAGGGGCAGUCCCCGUCGGGCCGCGCCGCGCCGCCCGCCUCCUCGUAGAGGCUCAGCGGGUCUCCGGCCUCGGCCGCGCUGGUCAGCGUGGGGCUGCCGGGCACGGCGCCGCCGGGAGAGCCCGAGGCGGCGGCCGCCGCCGGCCCUCCGCCGCCGAAGAUGUAGACGCGCUUCAGCUUCCUCUCGGCCGCCGCUUUGCCGGGCGCCGCCGGCGCGCCCCUCGGCUUGUACAGCGCCUGGUGCUCGGGCGGCGGCGGCGGCUUGGGGCCGGCGGGGGAGGGCCGCGGGCCGCCGCCACCGCCUCCCUUCUUCGGGGCGGGUUUGGCCGUGCCGCCGCCGGGGCCGCCGCCCGCGCUGCCCCCGCCGGGCCCGGCGCCGCCCCCGCCCCCGCCGGCGGCCCGGUCCGCCUUGUCUGCGGGCUUGGCGGAGCUGUUGCCCGACUUCACCUUCUUCCUGGGCCGGUACUUGUAGUCGGGGUAGUCCGCCAUGUGCUUGAGGCGCAGCCGCUCCGCCUCCCGGAUGAAGGGGAUCUUGUCGCUGUCCUUGAGCAGCUUCCAGCGCUUGCCCAGCCGCUUGGAGAUCUCGGCGUUGUGCAUGUCGGGCGACUGCUCCAUGAUCUUCCGCCGUUCGAUCUGCGACCACACCAUGAAGGCGUUCAUCGGUCGCUUGAUGUGCCCGCUGGGCGUCUUGCACCAGCUCGGGUCGUCCGCCUUGCCGCCCGUCGAGGCGGUGGAGCCGGGCGUAGGCGACGAGGCGAUGCCCAGCUCCAGCCCGACCCCGGCGGCCGAGGUCUCGGCGGCGGGCAGCGCCUCCGUGUUCUCCGCCGUGCCCGUCUGCUGCACCAUGGCUGCGGCCGCGGGGCUCGACUCGGCGGCGCGGGGCUGCGGGGGGCUCCGGGCCGGCCCCGGGGCAGCUUCCACAACGGCGCCCGGCCCCGGCCGCGCCGCGCUCCCGCUCCGCGCGGACUUGCUGCCGGAGCCGCGCCGCAACGUGGGGCUCUGCUUUUGUCCUUAAACUGUUUCUUUCUUUCUUUUUUGUUUUUGUUUUGGUUUUUUUUUUUGCUUUUUGCUUGGGGUUUGUUUCAGGGGACGCCGCUCCGCCUCGCUCUCCCCUCAACGCCGCGCCCCCUCAGGGUAGCCGCUCCGCUCCGCGCCCCGCCGGCCCCCGUCGCGCCGGCAGCCCCGGGCUGGGGGGGAGGCGGCCCCCGGCUGCGGGCCGCGUGGUGACGGCGCUCCGUGCGGCGGCGGCGGGGCGCCGUGCGGAGAAAGCGCCCAAAGAAUCAAAAAAAAAAAAAAAGAAAAAAGAAAAAAAAGGUGAAAAAAAAAAAAGAAAAAAAGAAAAAAAAAAGGAAAGGAAAAAGAAAAAAAGAUAAAGCAAUCAAAAAAAUUCACGGCGGAAAAAGAAACCAACAGCAACCCAAAAAUUCACGGAAAAAGGACGAUGCCGCAGAGUGCCCGUGCAGAGCGCGUCCGUCCCGCAGGCAGCGCGGGCCGAGCCCCGUCCCGCAGCGCGCAGAGCGCGCGGAGCCCGCGGAGCCGCCCCCCGCCGAGCCGCGCCGCGCGCACGCCGGGCGAUGCCCGCGCCCCCCGCACGCCGCGCUCCUCCGGCAGCCGCUGAGAGCGGAGCCCGCGCCCGCCCCGCGCCGCUUUAUCCUUUCGCAGCCCGCGCCGCGGCCAAUCGCGCGCUGUAUCCAACGCGUCCGCGUGCCAAGCGCCGCCCGCCGCCCUCCGAUUGGCGGCCGCCGCGGCGCGAUAAUAAGCGCCGCGUGCAAUGAGAAGCGCCCGCGCUGACCUCAUUCCCGGCGGCGGGGCGAACUCUGGGGAAGGGGCAGGAGGGCAGCGCCGCGCGCCGCCCCGCGCCCCGCCGCGCACGUGCCCGCGCCCCCGUCCCGCCCCGCGCCCCCGCCCCGCGCGCCUCCCCCGACCAGAAGGGGCGGCGGUCGGCGCCGCGGGGAGCGGUGCGAGAGAGCGCGGUGAGAGAGGCGGUGCAAACGGAACGCGGAGAAAACGGCGCAGUGGGCGAAAUAACGCCACGCGCUCGCCGAGGCACCGAGCGGCGUCGUGCCGCACACCUGCACAAAGAGCCGUGCGCUGCCGUGCGGCGCCGCGAGAGCUCCGAGGGCCGGCGCUCGGCGGUCACCUGCACGGCCCGCGGUGCCGCCCACGCCGCUUCGCUGCCGAAGGGGUGCGCCGCGUGUCCUCCUCCCGGCUAAAACCUCGCCCCCUGCCCCGUGACGACGCCCUCUGACAUCAGAGCAGCCCCGCAACUUCGCGCCGUGCGGGCGCUCGGCCUCCCGCUGCCCGCCCCCCCCCCGGGCCGACGCCCGCGCUGCACGGCACAGUCCCGGAGCGGGGCGGGCCGGCAGCGCCCGCGGCGGUUCUACCGGUGCUCCCGGCGCUGGCGUGCAGCGGCACGAACGCGGCCCGCAGCCCACCUGUCAGCGGGGCAUCCAGGGGCGCCUCCGUAGGCAGCCCCCUUGUUUGGCUUAUGGGUAGGAGUUUUCUUUCGGACUACACAGAUGUUCACAUGUCGCUGCGCGGGUCAAAGGGGAGCAAAUAACGAAAGCGGUAGGCGGAUAUGGUAAUAAAAAGCUCCAGAGAGCAUUCCGUUCCGUCGUGCUCCAGCGCGAAAGGCCCUGCCUUCUAGGAACGCGUCCGUCCCCAGGUGAGCGGUCACCUCGAUACGAGCGGCCACCCCCCAUCUGCUCCCGGCAGUGCACGGGCACAGCGUGCUAUUUCCUAUAGGAAAGCUUCCCGCAUUCGUAAAAGCACGUUUUAGAAUUGCUUAAUAAAGCAAUCGCAAGAAUACGAUGUGAAACUCUGUAAAAGCUUUUAUUACGAUUUCUUGGCUGCUUCCUUGAAGUUAAUUGCUUCCACUUUUAAUCCUCCGACGCUGCGGUGAAAGUGCUUCGAGCUCCCCAAAUUUUAAGCACGGAUGUAAAACGUAAGCACUCAGCUCCCACCUCAAACGCACUUUUAAGAGCAUUGGCAACGCUUCUCUGCCGUUUAAAACUUGGGAAGACGGGAAACUUCCUCGUGCUCCUGCAGGCUGCAGCCCCGGGAGCGGAGGGACGCGAGGUGGCAGCGCUGAGCCUCUGCUCCGCGCGUGGGAAGCGCCGGGACCGCGGGGUCAGCUCCUUCGGUCCUCUUCCUUCCUCCUACAUCUUGCCCUCUGGGCCCUUCGCUGUCUUCAUAGCCCCGCUUUGGACGCUUUCUAAUGAUUUCAUAAUCCUCUUACGCUCUGGUGCCCA